CCUACGGGAGGCAGCAGUGGGGAAUAUUGGACAAUGGGCGAAAGCCUGAUCCAGCAAUGCCGCGUGAGUGAUGAAGGCCUUAGGGUUGUAAAGCUCUUUUACCAGGGAUGAUAAUGACAGUACCUGGAGAAUAAGCUCCGGCUAACUCCGUGCCAGCAGCCGCGGUAAUACGGAGGGAGCUAGCGUUGUUCGGAAUUACUGGGCGUAAAGCGUACGUAGGCGGUUAUUCAAGUCAGAGGUGAAAGCCUGGAGCUCAACUCCAGAACUGCCUUUGAAACUAGAUAGCUAGAAUCUUGGAGAGGUGAGUGGAAUUCCGAGUGUAGAGGUGAAAUUCGUAGAUAUUCGGAAGAACACCAGUGGCGAAGGCGACUCACUGGACAAGUAUUGACGCUGAGGUACGAAAGCGUGGGGAGCAAACAGGAUUAGAUACCCUGGUAGUCCACGCCGUAAACGAUGAUAACUAGCUGUUCGGGCUCUACGAGCUUGAGUGGCGCAGCUAACGCAUUAAGUUAUCCGCCUGGGGAGUACGGUCGCAAGAUUAAAACUCAAAGGAAUUGACGG
Molecule: ribosomal RNA, 561 nt
Filed under: uncultured bacterium
Lineage: Bacteria
Description: bacterial SSU rRNA
Rfam family: Bacterial small subunit ribosomal RNA
Source: RNAcentral